This is a long non-coding RNA of Phyllostomus hastatus (greater spear-nosed bat), 502 nucleotides long. RefSeq lists it as uncharacterized. The record is from RefSeq and is a predicted model, not a curated record. Lineage: Eukaryota; Metazoa; Chordata; Mammalia; Chiroptera; Phyllostomidae. The transcript is spliced from 3 exons.
UUUGUAGCCAUUCUCUUUACCUGGAAAGUAAGGAAUUCCACAAAUGUCCUUCAGAAGCAUUGACUAGCAUGGAAUGACUACUCGGCUAUAAGCCAGGAUAAAGAAUACAUGUUCUUAAGCUUUAGCAGGCAUGGCCGCCCAGUGAGUUCCACGCACACUUAGGUAUUUGGAAAGUUGUUUGUUGCCCAGCUGCUGAACUGAUGGAGUCAGGGAUCACUGGCCACUCUGCCCACAGUCAACUCCGAACCCACCUUCUGCAAGAAUGCGUUGUCCAAACAGGCUGUGGAGCAGCUACACUUGAACCUGGCCCCCAGAAACCAGGCCUUCCUGGGGCAUCGGCCAACAGAGGCUUCGUGGGGAUUUGGCAGGCAACUGCUCGGACCCAGAAUCUGUCGGCUCCACACACACAGUGGGGAUGCCCACUCUCUGGGACGAUGUGACCAAUUCAGAUGCAAUCUGGCACGGGGACUCCGUGGAUGGGCUCAUGAGCUGUCACCUGAUA